ACCUGACGUUAGCUACGUCGCAGGUCACUGUUCAGGUCUAAUUAUAAAGAUAGGUCUGAGUCUCACACUGUUUUCCACAUUCCAAUGUCCAACUUAGGAUCAAGGAAAAUAAACUUAGCUACAGGGCCAUUCUUUCUUAUUAGAAAUCAUUUCAUCCACUCAUUUGGUAACAAAGCAUACUUGUUAGUGUGUCAAUCACUGAGCACUGAUAUUGAGUUUUUUGUUCAGUGCAAUUAUUGUUGUUGAGAAUUAUUUAUGCUAUGGGAAUAUGAUGUAUAUGGAUUUUUUUUUUUUUUUUUUUUAAUGUCCAAAAGCUGUACAUCCCUGCAGAAGUUGGUGUUGUAUGUUGCAAAUGUUUCAAUCUAUUGUGGUUCCCAGGGUUGUCAUAAAAAGACCAUGUCUCUCCUUUUGUUCUGUGUCUGUGAUAUAACAAACAGCUGACACCUUGUUUUGUUACUGUACAAUAUUGUGUAUUUGUAAUAAUGGUUUACUGCUUUUUGUGUGUGUCAUCAACUCAUUGAGGGUUUCAUCCAACAGACCUCAUGCUUUACAGCUGUAUGUGAAUGUUGAUAUUGGCUACAAUACACAUUUGUAUAAUCUUAUUGUUGCAAUAGUUGUUUUUUUUAUACCAAUAUGAUAGUUAGGCUGUCAUUUUAAGCAUAAUAGAUUCGUAUGAAUGUUUAAAUCAUUUAAUUUAAAAAAUUAUUUUUUUUUUAUUUUAUACACACAAAUGUUUUGGCGUUCUUCAUCAGAAGAAAAUGUCAAAAAAAAAAAUCUGUUGGUUUGUUUUGUGGAUACUUUUUGUACUGAUUAUUUAUUAAACCUUGUUAUUUACUUUUAUGCUUCUUUUUUU
This is a non-coding RNA of Biomphalaria pfeifferi, 853 nucleotides long. Lineage: Eukaryota; Metazoa; Mollusca; Gastropoda; Planorbidae. The record is from the annotation of a GenBank genome assembly.